UGUAUAUUUGUAACAGUGGCAGCUUGUGUAUAAGCACUGCAGAACUGCAGCACCCCUAUUUCCAUUCGAUAUUAUCGAUAACAUUCAAUAUAAGUCUUUUUUCAUUAUAUAAUCCUUAAGGUUAAUGUCAGUAGCCAUUCCCUAGAUUAUGGAAAAAAAAUACAAAAAUCCUUGUAUAGAACUGUGCGCUUCACAGUUUCAGCGACGUGGUGUUUGGCUGUUGUUCGCAUGCUCACAUGUCCGAGAUAGGAAGCUUCACGCUAGGGAGAGAGAAAACUGUGUGAACUACAGUGCUGAUCCUGGUGUGCUGAGAAAGCAUGGGUGAGAUGGUACCACAAGAGCUGGCCAGGCUGAAGCUUGCACCAGACUUCUGUGACUGUUUUGUCAGGAUUUUUACAGCUGGAUGCCCUUCCUAACACCAACCACUCAGCAGAGUGGUCUUAGUGCUUUUUUACGUGGUGCAAGAACAGGUGAGAUGUAAAGUGACUGAACUGAACAAGAACUGUUCCUCCCUCACAGCUUCAAUAAAUACCUUAAUCUACCCUCUACAAUAAGUCUCCACAACAUUAAAAACUUCCUAUACCAAUUCUUCUUGAACAUAUUUAUUUCUGAUCCAAAAUUCCAAGCUUCCUACACUGAACCAUGUUUAUUGUCACAAACAGAUUCAAAUGACUUAGUGAUUUUAAUUCAUUUAAGCUGGACUUUAGGUUCAAUAUUAAAGGGAUUUAAGAUUAAACUAAGCCUGAAAGCAAAAAUCUGAUUCCACACUUAAAUUUGGUAUGCAAAAGUAUGCAUAGAACAUCCAUCAAAACACUUGUGAUAAAAUUUGUGUUGCCCAAAGAAUUGUUGUUUGUUUUUGUGCUGUUGAUAGAAACUAGAUUGACCCAUUGUCUGAAAUACAUUUUGCAGACAAUGAUACAAACACACUUCCU
Molecule: long non-coding RNA, 932 nt
Organism: Octopus bimaculoides (California two-spot octopus)
Lineage: Eukaryota; Metazoa; Mollusca; Cephalopoda; Octopoda; Octopodidae
Source: RefSeq, a predicted model, not a curated record